GAGGGGGGGGGGGGGGGGCGGAAGGGGGGGGGGGGGCCGGGGGGGGGGGGGAGGGGGGGAAGGGGGGGGGCGGGGGGGGGGGGGGAAGGGGGGGGUGCAAAGGGGGCCGGGAGGGGGGGAAAGGGGGGGGGGGGGGGGUCGGGGGGCGGGGGGGGGGUAGGGGGGGGGUUGGGGGGGGGGGGGGAAAUGGGGGCCGGGACCCCGCCCCCCUUCCGGUGGUUGGUUAAAAGUUUGGUGAAACGCGGGCGGGCCCCCGCGGGGCCCCUCCCUUGUCCCCGCCCUUAAGGCUCCCUGUGACGCCCCUCGCCAAAUUCCCCAGGGCUUCAAACGCUAAGAACCCUUCAAAGGCCUUCCCUUUUAAAGGAGGGGCGCACAGGGAUCACCCCCGGCACACCCUCCCCUCAAGGGGGUGGUUACCUUUGGAAAACAGUUUUUAACCCCCAUAAAACCUUUUCGCUCCCCAAACAUAAAUUUAAAAGGGCUCUCCCGCCCACCAAAAGAAGAGGUUCCCGGGGUCCUUUAUGGUGGGGUGUGAGGGUAACGCCUCCCCCAAAGCCAAUUGUCCCAACCCGGGUUUGGAAGCUUUUCCGCCCCCAUUGGGGAAUGGACCCCGCCCCCAAUUUCCUGGGGGGAGGCCCCAGUAGGGAUUUUUCCCCAAGGGGGGGAAGCUUGAUGGACCACCCCCCGUUGUUUGAAGAAGGCUUUCGGGUUGGUAAACCCUUUUUUGUAGGGAAGAACCGCUUUAAUAGGAAAUGUUUUAAGUUGGCCGGUACCUUCCCAGAAAGGGACGGCUAAAUACGUGCCAGCAGCCGCGGUAAUACGUAUGUCCCGAGCGUUAUCCGGAUUUAUUGGGCGUAAAGCGAGCGCAGACGGUUUAUUAAGUCUGAAGUGAAAGCCCGGAGGUCAAAUUCGGGAAUGGCAUUGGAAACUGGUUAACUUGAGUGCAGUAGAGGUAAGUGGAACUCCAUGUGUAGCGGUGGAAUGCGUAGAUAUAUGGAAGAACCCCAGUGGCGAAGGCGGCUUACUGGACUGCAACUGACGUUGAGGCUUGAAAGUGUGGGUAGCAAACCGGAUUAGAUACCCUGGUAGUCCACCCCGUAAACGAUGAACACUAGGUGUUAGGAGGUUUCCGCCUCUUAGUGCCGAAGCUAACGCCUUAAGUCUUCCGCCUGGGGAGUACGACCGCAAGGUUGAAACUCAAAGGAAUUGACGGGGACCCGCCCCAGCGGUGGAGCAUGUGGUUUAAUUUGAAGCAACGCGAAGAACCUUACCCGGUCUUGACCUCCUUUGAAGCUUUUAGAGAUAGAAGUGUUCUCUUCGGAGACAAAGUGACAGGUGGUGCAUGGUCGUCGUCAGCUCGUGUCGUGAGAUGUUGGGUUAAGUCCCGCAACGAGCGCAACCCUUAUUGUUAGUUGCCAGCAUUCAGAUGGGCACUCUAGCGGACUGCCGGUGACAAACCGGAGGAAGGCGGGGACGACGUCAGAUCAUCAUGCCCCUUAUGACCUGGGCUACACACGUGCUACAAUGGCGUAUACAACGAGCAGCCAACCCGCGAGGGUGAGCUAAUCUCUUAAAGUACGUCUCAGUUCGGAUUGUAGUCUGCAACUCGCCUACAUGAAGUCGGAAUCGCUAGUAAUCGCGGAUCAGCACGCCGCGGUGAAUACGUUCCCGGGUCUUGUACACACCGCCCGUCACACCAUGGGAGUUUGUAACGCCCAAAGCCGGUGGCCUAACCUUUUAGGAAGGAGCCGUCUAAGGCAGGACAGAUGACUGGGGGAAGUCGAACCAAAGUGGCAGG
RNAcentral lists this ribosomal RNA (1798 nucleotides) under Leuconostoc mesenteroides subsp. mesenteroides. Its description in RNAcentral is "partial 16S ribosomal RNA". The stretch from base 304 to 1798 matches the Rfam family "Bacterial small subunit ribosomal RNA". Lineage: Bacteria; Bacillati; Bacillota; Bacilli; Lactobacillales; Lactobacillaceae. The record is from RNAcentral.